UACGGACGGGGCAAGCGUUGUUCGGAAUCAUUGGGCGUAAAGGGCGCGCAGGUGGUUCUGUAUGUCUGCCGUGAAAGCAUACAGCUCAACUGUAUUGUGUCGGUAGAAACUGCAGGACUUGAGGCUGGGAGGGGCAGGUGGAAUUCCCUGUGUAGCGGUGAAAUGCGUAGAGAUGGGGGAGAACACUCGUGGCGAAGGCGGCCAGCUAGACCAGUUCUGACACUGAGGCGCGACAGCGUGGGGAGCAAACAGG
RNAcentral lists this ribosomal RNA (253 nucleotides) under uncultured bacterium. Its description in RNAcentral is "partial 16S ribosomal RNA". It matches the Rfam family "Bacterial small subunit ribosomal RNA", at positions 524 to 776 of the family's 1533-position model. The record is from RNAcentral.